Oryza meridionalis is the source of this 203-nucleotide non-coding RNA. The record is from Rfam. NCBI's taxonomy places the organism in Eukaryota, Viridiplantae, Streptophyta, Magnoliopsida, Poales, Poaceae.
AAUAAGUGCAGUUUUGCACUAUUCAUAUUCAACGUUUGACCGUUCGUCUUAUUUAAAAAUUUUGUAUGAUUAGUAUUUUUAUUGCUAUUAGAUGUUAAAACAUAAAUAGUACUUUAUGUGUGACUAAAUAUUUUCAAAUUUUUCACAAAGUUUUCAAAUAAGACGUACGAUCAAACGUUGGGCACGGAUAUUAUCCAGUUAAG